Molecule: non-coding RNA, 75 nt
Organism: Heligmosomoides polygyrus
Lineage: Eukaryota; Metazoa; Nematoda; Chromadorea; Rhabditida; Heligmosomidae
Source: Rfam
GCGCCGAUGGUGUAAAGGCGUAGAGCAUUCCCGCCCGGUCAGAGGGAGGUGCGGGUUCGAGUCCCGCCUGGCGCU